GGUUCUUGCGAGAUGAGGGUCGGAUUCCAGAUCGCCAGGGCGGUCGCAAGAGCGGUCCAUGGAUCCGGCAAUGCGGUAUCUUCCAGCCGCAUUUUCAGGCCUUCGAGCAGCAGCAUCAUCGUCAGGGGCCUGGCCGACGAUUUCAGCAGCCUCUUCGAUCAGAAUGCGAUGAAGACCAAGGCUCCAGGCAAGGCGAGGGAAGAUGGAGAGGCCACAAAGGCGGGCAAGGUGAACGAGGACAAGGAGGAGGUGAGUGAAUUGGAUCUACUGGAUUUGCAAUUCGCGAAAAUCGAGACUACAACAAGAACAACAACGGUGAGUGAUAGCAAGCCGGAGUCCCUGGAGCCAAUCGUCCAGGAGAUCCCGCUCCUACCGCCCUUUGGAUCUGACGAGGAGCUCAUCGAGUACGCAACUGCGGUCGUGAAAGAAACGCCGUGGCGGCAGCUCUACACCAAGCUCGCAGUUCUGGGUGAUCAAGUCAAGGCUCACCACGUCCCAGAGAUCAUCAAACGAGCCAAGGAUUCGCCGGUGGUGUUUAGUUUCUUCAUGUGGGUGAGAGCCAGGCGACACAUCCGUCUGGAUUCCUCCAUGUUUACGUUGCUCUUUGAGGUUCUAAGCUCCACCGACAAGCCGGAGGAGAUGGAGUGGCUCCUCGACCAGAUGCCAAAGUGGGGGAUUCCCGUGGAGGACUCCAUGGUUGUGACGGUGAUGCUGGCUUACGGGAGGCUGGACAGGGCCGGUGACGCUCUCAAGCUCUUCUUGAAGAUGGAGGAGCUCGGGGUGAAGUAUCCCAAGACCUCGACUUUCAACUGUAUCUUGCGACUACUCCUCAACGCGGGCCGGAACUUACAGUUCGAUAUGGUACACAAGAGGAUGACGAUGAUGAGGAAGAUGAACGCUCUCACGUACGAGAUUCUCAUCGCUAAGGUCUGCCGGUUUGGCGCCGCCGAGAGCGCGUAUGAAGUCUUCCAGGAGAUGAAAGAUGUGGAGCACCAGCCGAGCGUGGCUGCGUACGCGAGCUUGGUGGAGAGCUUGAGCAAGGCGGGUAGAGAGGACAUAGCUAUCCAGGUGCUGGAAGAGAUGGAAACUCCUUCAGCCGAGGUUUACAACCCGCUGGUGAGGAACUUGGUCCUGGCAGGGAAGCUAGGUGUGGCACUGACACAGUACAAGAAGAUGCUGGAGGCUAAACUCAAGCCGGUUUCCUCGACUUGCAUUCCCAUACUCACGGAGCUCGUGAUCACCGAGAGAAGCGAGCAGGCUUGCUCGCUCUUCCGGGAGAUGAUCAAGUCCGGCUAUGCUUCUCCCGCGGACUGUCUGCCGGUGGUGGAGAGCAGCUACAAGAAGUGCAAGAUCGAGAUGGUGUGGAGCUUCAUCAAGGAGCUUCCCAAGCUUCCGGACUGCGAUUUCGACGAGAAGAUCAUAUACUCUCUCGUCAAGGGACUUAUGGACAAGGAGAGGCUUGAUCUGGCGAGGAAGCUGUUUCAGUCGGUGCUGAGCACGGGGAAGAAGUUGCCGGCGGAUACUUACAACCUUUUCAUCCUCAAGCUGCGCACCACCGACGGCAGCAAGCAGAUCUUCGACCUCAUGAAGCAGAACGGAUGUGUUCCGGAUACUCGCAGCUACAACGGCAUGAUCGAGGCGCUGGUGCGAGCGGGAUCGAUCGGCGAGGCGUAUCAGCUCUUUGUGGAGAUGAUGGACAAAGGCUACCAGGCUGAUGCGAUCACUUACAAGCUGCUCAUGCAGAUCCUCAGCAGGGACGAGAAGAUGAACGCGAGCACCGUCACGGAAGCCAUGACGAAGCUCAAGGAGAAGGGGAAGUUUGAAGCAGCAGGGACGUACCUCGACAAGCUUUCGCAGCAAAAGCUUUUACCGUUUGGGAAAGGCAAGGGGAUCGAAGGGAAGGUUCUGGUGAAAGUCUUGCAAAAGGAUGGACGGAGGCUGGAAGAUAUCUACAUGUGAGACGCAAAAAUUUGGGACAAGAUUGGCUUUGAGAGAACUUUGCACUGCUGUGAGUGAUCCGAAGCAUUCAUCUGUGGAGAGCGAAGUUUGUGUGUGGAAUAUCUCCCACACGACGACAAUAAUGCAGGUAUGGGAUAAUAUUCUCUCGAAAGUGCGGCUGCCUCCACUGUCGCUGGCGGCUGAGCAAAGCAGCCACGCUAUAUAUAAAGUCGUGGAGCCAGACCCUUUCGAUCGUCUCAAGCCUCGAGAAAAGUCCACUUUUGAGCUCCAGUGCUUCUCUAGUUCGUCUGGCGAAGGUGUGAAAAAUCAAGUUUUGGCCAAUCUGGUUGAUCCGAGAUGGGAUUUCUGGCACGGCUGUGGGACGAUGUUGUUGCUCAUGAUCCUGGGAUGAAUCUGCGGGAUCCAAAGCUGGAAGGAUCAUUGCAAGGAGCUCCUUUCGCCCAACGAGACAAGGACAAGACAGGGAAUAUGAGUGAUCGAGAAGGAAGAACCAGAGAUGAUCCAGGCGUUACAAGACAAUUAUCUCCCAGUGUCUCGGAUUGGCUCGUCCUCAGCAUUCUAGACAGAUGAAAGAAAAAGACUUCAUUGUCUUGUCAAAGUUUGCUCUUCGCAAAGAAGGAUCCAAAUCUAUUCCUUCGUCUUGUGAAAGUUUGCUCUUCGCAAAAAGCUAUGUGAUCUAAGCUUGAAACGAAAGAUUUCCAAAUACUCGAGUUCUUUGACUGAAGUUCUGAUUGGUGGAUCCAAACUUUCGCUUAGAUCUUGAUGCAGUGUCACAAAAUCUCAGAAACGUUUGAAACAUCCAGUAGCAGAAGUUCAUUACAUUCAUCACCAUCAGAACAUCGUUUGGAUCUUUCACACUCUCCAGUGUCCUUGCUUCAGAGAGCUGCUUCGAUUGGAUCCACCAAAGUCACCGAGAAGUGAAUCGUCCCUCGAAGUUCCUUCUCUACACGACCAUGGCGAUGGAGGAGCAAGCAUGGCUUCUCUCUCGACGAAGCCCAAGGUAGAGGAUCAUCAAAACGUAGGCCAAGAUCGCGAGAGCUCCCAAGGGCCCGAGCGCCGCACGGUACAAGCCCGCAGCGCUGGAAUCCAUCACGGCAGUGGAGCCAGCAAUCGCGACGAAAAUGAUGAGUCUUAUCUUCUACACAAGGAAGACGAAACAAACAACGCAUCGAUGAAUAGAAAAGGAAUCGAGAGGAUCUACAGUGGUUCCUGAGCUCUCCAUCGCGGCAAGAGCCACAAAUUUCUCCGCGAGAGAAUGAUAUGAUUCCUCUGAUAAGGAGUCACAUAAAAAGCAUUGCUUUGAAUCUAUGGUGAGGGCUCCAGAUCUGCGUUGGAGGGGUGGCUGCCAAGGCAGAAAGAAAGGAGCCAUCGCCAGUCUUGUGGCACCACACUCAUACAAUGCGGAUCGGAUCGCUUAUCGCGCAUUGCAAUCAGUACGAUGGUGCGCCGCUAAAAA
Selaginella moellendorffii is the source of this 3415-nucleotide RNA transcript. It is a transcript of the gene named pentatricopeptide repeat-containing protein At3g06920, with no coding region annotated. The record is from RefSeq and is a predicted model, not a curated record. Lineage: Eukaryota; Viridiplantae; Streptophyta; Lycopodiopsida; Selaginellales; Selaginellaceae. The transcript has 3 exons.